RNAcentral lists this unclassified non-coding RNA (262 nucleotides) under Hevea brasiliensis (rubber tree). Lineage: Eukaryota; Viridiplantae; Streptophyta; Magnoliopsida; Malpighiales; Euphorbiaceae. The record is from RNAcentral.
AAGGAAGAGGGCAUCAUAUAAGUCCUAUCGAAGGAGUGCAGCAAGUUCUGAUUGCAAGAAAAAUGAAACGGAUAAUGUAAAUAGUUCAUGUAACGAUGAAGUCAAGGGCGAUGCAUUUAAGAAUGACCCAAGUACAUCUUCAGGACCAACACCCAGAUCAUCUAUUACUUUUUCAACUUCAAUUUUGGAGGAAAAUUUGGGAUCUUCUAAGCAAAAAAUUGUAAAUGCUGGCAGUGACAUGGAAGGUACUGCAGGUUGGAAG